AUGGGAAAAUGAGGUCCCCCUCUUUGAGCAUCUGUGACUGCCGGGAAGCAGAUAGACCCUCUGCCUUCAAGAAAGAAGGGAGUCUUGCUGUCGCCCAGGCUGGAGUGCAGUGCCAUGAUCUCAGCUCACUGCAACCUGCACCUCCCAGGUUCAAGCGAUUCACUUAUUCCACACCUCUGAGGCCAGGGCAGACCAGACGUGGUGGUUCACACCUAUAAUCCCAGCACUUUGGGAGGUCGAGGUGGGAGGAUCGCCUGACUCCA
Molecule: long non-coding RNA, 263 nt
Filed under: Homo sapiens (human)
Lineage: Eukaryota; Metazoa; Chordata; Mammalia; Primates; Hominidae
Description: HSALNT0371170
Source: RNAcentral